This 74-nucleotide transfer RNA is filed under the name Tsukamurella paurometabola. RNAcentral describes it as "tRNA-Glu(ctc)". The record is from RNAcentral. Lineage: Bacteria; Bacillati; Actinomycetota; Actinomycetes; Mycobacteriales; Tsukamurellaceae.
ACGAUCGUGGCGAGGAUCGUGCGCACCGUGCUCGCCGGUGCGCGCCGCGCGGGUUCGUCGUCCGCCGUCCGUGC